UAGCACCAUUUUUUACAGCCCCAGAAGAAAGAAAUCCACUUUUUAAUUAGAGCUGCAGCAGUUUAUACAUCUGUGUCUGGCAGUGGACUCAGCCCUGUCAUGUUGCCUGCGACAGCAGCAGCACUGUGGGCUCAGUGGAGGUGCUGACCUCUCAGAGCAGUGAAGAGAUCUCAGCAGAGCAAUGUCUGCCUUCAGAUAUCAGCUACUCCACUAGGGAAAAUAAUGCUUUGGGGAUCCCUGCUUUACCCUCCUUUGCCAAAAGGUACCAUGCUCACUCUGACCCUGUGGAAGUGGAGUUGGAAGAUUUUUGAGGCGUGCCCCUGGACCAGAUGCGGUACCCCUUGCCCCAAGUCCCGAUGACCUUUUGCUCAGCUUGUGGUUUGUGCCCGUGACUGCCACGUCCUCAGCAAGCAGGGAUUACCUUUUGCAAUCAGAUGUUCGAAAUGGAGCGUACUCAGUCUGGCUUUUUUGUGGCUGUUGCCCUUAUGAUAGAGGAAAAAUAUCCUCCCGUCGUGUAUUUAUUACCAUUCUGUAUACAACAUCCAGAGCAGAGUCUCCCUGUGUCACCAGAUGCUGCGGGAAUCUCGCUGCCCCGGCGGGCAGGAGGGCUCAGCCUGGAGCGGGAGAAAUGUAAAAACUCAGUGUGAUGGAAUAAUUAAUGCAGCUGAUUAAAGGGGAAGAUUACACAUUAACAGAGGAAGAUAAGCACUAAAUUUCCAGCCUUAUUGCAUUUCAAACUUGAAUAUAUUGGUUCCAAAGGUGGCUGCAGACUUAUUUGCCUGUCUCUAUAUGAGAACACCAGCAGACAGGACUGACCAGGGACAGGGGAACACGCAGCCCUCCACUCUUGUCAUUUUCCCACGGGGGACUGUGGGGGUGUAAAAGGCCCAUGGUGGUACAAACAUGGCCAGGCAAUUCCCAGAACAUCCAGUGUGAGGCUGCAAAGACUACAAUCACAUUGCAUCACUUAGAUGUAAUCCAGCACGAGGAAGGAUCUCCUGAAGGGUAAUCUCCUUGGGGUUCAUGCUGUGCAUCUGUGCUUAAGCAUUUAGGCAUCUGUGACUGUCUUUGGUGGAAGAACAUAGGCCUGUAAA
Motacilla alba alba is the source of this 1094-nucleotide long non-coding RNA. RefSeq lists it as uncharacterized. NCBI's taxonomy places the organism in Eukaryota, Metazoa, Chordata, Aves, Passeriformes, Motacillidae. The transcript is spliced from 4 exons. The record is from RefSeq and is a predicted model, not a curated record.